CAUUUCCUCAAUCCUCUUCACUGCUGACUGCUUCACGCCAUUUCCUCUUCUUCAACAAGACCACAACUGCUUCAGCUCUUCCACAAGACCCAUAAGAGAUGGCAAAUAGUGGAAGAGAUCCUUGCAUUGUUGAUGUUUGAUUGCAAUUUGCUAUUUUUUGCUACUAGUGUUCGACCAUGCCUCCUAAAGCUCGUUCACAUGUUUGGGAAUACUUUGCGAUAGUUCAAGACAAUGAAGAAGGGCGUAAAGUAAGGUGCUUGACAUGCGGUAUGAUACUUAAAUAUAAUCCAAAAGUGUCUGGCACAAUUUCCUUGUUGAAGCAUAUUGAGAAAUGUCUUGAGCGUCAACAAGAGAGGCAAAUUCGCCUUCAAAUUUAAGCUUAUGUUUUGAAUUUGGUGAAUUUCGGACCAAAUUGUGAUUGCUAGUAUUGUGUUAAGAUGAUGGAUUUAAGACUUAG
Long non-coding RNA from Lycium barbarum (goji berry), 457 nucleotides. RefSeq lists it as uncharacterized. The record is from RefSeq and is a predicted model, not a curated record. NCBI's taxonomy places the organism in Eukaryota, Viridiplantae, Streptophyta, Magnoliopsida, Solanales, Solanaceae. The transcript is spliced from 3 exons.